UUAACACAUGCAAGUCGAGCGGUAGCACAGGGGAGCUUGCUCUCGGGUGACGAGUGGCGGACGGGUGAGUAAUGUCUGGGAAACUGCCUGAUGGAGGGGGAUAACUACUGGAAACGGUAGCUAAUACCGCAUAACGUCGCAAGACCAAAGAGGGGGACCUUCGGGCCUCUUGCCAUCAGAUGUGCCCAGAUGGGAUUAGCUAGUAGGUGGGGUAACGGCUCACCUAGGCGACGAUCCCUAGCUGGUCUGAGAGGAUGACCAGCCACACUGGAACUGAGACACGGUCCAGACUCCUACGGGAGGCAGCAGUGGGGAAUAUUGCACAAUGGGCGCAAGCCUGAUGCAGCCAUGCCGCGUGUGUGAAGGAGGCCUUCGGGUUGUAAAGCACUUUCAGCGAGGAGGAAGGUGGUGAACUUAAUACGUUCAUCAAUUGACGUUACUCGCAGAAGAAGCACCGGCUAACUCCGUGCCAGCAGCCGCGGUAAUACGGAGGGUGCAAGCGUUAAUCGGAAUUACUGGGCGUAAAGCGCACGCAGGCGGUUUGUUAAGUCAGAUGUGAAAUCCCCGGGCUCAACCUGGGAACUGCAUUUGAAACUGGCAAGCUAGAGUCUCGUAGAGGGGGGUAGAAUUCCAGGUGUAGCGGUGAAAUGCGUAGAGAUCUGGAGGAAUACCGGUGGCGAAGGCGGCCCCCUGGACGAAGACUGACGC
RNAcentral lists this ribosomal RNA (708 nucleotides) under uncultured Enterobacterales bacterium. RNAcentral describes it as "bacterial SSU rRNA". It matches the Rfam family "Bacterial small subunit ribosomal RNA", at positions 48 to 746 of the family's 1533-position model. The record is from RNAcentral. Lineage: Bacteria; Pseudomonadati; Pseudomonadota; Gammaproteobacteria; Enterobacterales.